AUGCGGCGUGCUAGCACAUGCAGUCGUACGCGGUGGCAACACCGAGUGGCGAACGGGUGCGUAACACGUGAGGAACCUACCCCGAAGUGGGGGAUAACACCGGGAAACCGGUGCUAAUACCGCAUACGCUCCCCGGACCGCAUGGUCCAGGGAGCAAAGCCUCCGGGCGCUUCGGGACGGCCUCGCGGCCUAUCAGCUUGUUGGUGGGGUAACGGCCCACCAAGGCGACUACGGGUAGCUGGUCUGAGAGGACGAUCAGCCACACUGGGACUGAGACACGGCCCAGACUCCUACGGGAGGCAGCAGUGGGGAAUAUUGCGCAAUGGGCGAAAGCCUGACGCAGCAACGCCGCGUGGAGGACGAAGGCCUUCGGGUUGUAAACUCCUUUCAGCAGGGACGAAACUGACGGUACCUGCAGAAGAAGCCCCGGCUAACUACGUGCCAGCAGCCGCGGUAAG
RNAcentral lists this ribosomal RNA (458 nucleotides) under uncultured bacterium. RNAcentral's name for it is "bacterial SSU rRNA". It matches the Rfam family "Bacterial small subunit ribosomal RNA", at positions 39 to 524 of the family's 1533-position model. The record is from RNAcentral.